AGCCUGAUCCAGCAAUGCCGCGUGCAGGAAGAAGGCCUUCGGGUUGUAAACUGCUUUUGUACGGAACGAAACGGUGCUCUUUAAUAAAGAGUGCUAAUGACGGUACCGUAAGAAUAAGCACCGGCUAACUACGUGCCAGCAGCCGCGGUAAUACGUAGGGUGCGAGCGUUAAUCGGAAUUACUGGGCGUAAAGCGUGCGCAGGCGGUUAUAUAAGACAGUUGUGAAAUCCCUGGGCUCAACCUAGGAAUUGCAUCUGUGACUGUAUAGCUAGAGUACGGUAGAGGGGGAUGGAAUUCCGCGUGUAGCAGUGAAAUGCGUAGAUAUGCGGAGGAACACCGAUGGCGAAGGCAAUCCCCUGGACCUGUACUGACGCUCAUGCACGAAAGCGUGGGGAGCAAACAGGAUUAGAUACCCUGGUAGUCCACGCCCUAAACGAUGUCAACUGGUUGUUGGGUGCAUUAGUACUCAGUAACGAAGCUAACGCGUGAAGUUGACCGCCUGGGGAGUACGGCCGCAAGGUUGAAACUCAAAUGGAAUUGACGG
Molecule: ribosomal RNA, 544 nt
Filed under: uncultured bacterium
Lineage: Bacteria
Description: bacterial SSU rRNA
Rfam family: Bacterial small subunit ribosomal RNA
Source: RNAcentral